GGGAGGCAGCAGUAAGGAAUAUUGCUCAAUGGGAGAAAUCCUGAAGCAGCAACGCCGCGUGGAGGAUGAAGGGCUUUCAGCUUGUAAACUCCUGUAAAGAAGGAAAAAAUUCCCAUUAGAUGGGAAAUGAUGGUACUUCUAAAGUAAGCCCCGGCUAACUACGUGCCAGCAGCCGCGGUAAUACGUAGGGGGCAAGCGUUGUCCGGAUUUACUGGGUGUAAAGGGUGCUCAGGCGGAUUUGUAAGUCAGAGGUGAAAUCUCACAGCUUAACUGUGAAACUGCCUUUGAUACUGCAAGUCUAGAGUAUGGAAGAGAGUGAUGGAAUGUCUGGUGUAGCAGUGAAAUGCGUAGAUAUCAGAUAGAACACCAAUGGCGAAGGCAGUCACUUGGUCCAUUACUGACGCUAAAGCACGAAAGCGUGGGUAGCAAACAGGAUUAGAUACCCUGGUAGUCCACGCCCUAAACGAUGAAUACUAGAUGUUGGGCCCGAAUGGGUUCAGUAUCUGAGCUAACGCAUUAAGUAUUCCACCUGGGAAGUACGAUCGCAAGGUUGAAACUCAAAGGAAUUGACGGGGGCCCGCACAAGCAGUGGAGCAUG
This 598-nucleotide ribosomal RNA is filed under the name uncultured Bacteroidota bacterium. RNAcentral's name for it is "bacterial SSU rRNA". It matches the Rfam family "Bacterial small subunit ribosomal RNA", at positions 343 to 941 of the family's 1533-position model. Lineage: Bacteria; Pseudomonadati; Bacteroidota. The record is from RNAcentral.